GAUUAUUGGUUGUCCUCAUUAUUGAUAUAGUAAAAGACUGUUGUUGCUGUCCUGUGGAUGCAGGCACAUAUAGCCGAACCACGUUAAUUCUUGGUGUUGAUUUGUCUUGGUUAUUUGUUUUCGAUUUCCAAAGCUUGUUUUGUUUUUAGAUUCUUAAAUGUGGUAUUCUCAGCAUUUUAAACAUAAUAUGUCAUAAAAUUUUCAAUCCUGCAGUUAUACGCGGUUCGCGAUUUCUAGUAAAAUACUAUAGUGGAAGUCGAGCACCCAUGGUCUACACACACAUUUGACAAAACUUUUCUAGAGACUUCAGCAAAGGAAUUAUAAUAUUAAAAGUGUAAGGAUGUAAGAAUCAAGUUUCGGUCGAUGAUCAAGAUGGUGCCACUUGUCAGCAGAUUAGGUGUUAAAGCUGUUAAGUUUGUUAUGUUUGUUAAGAGAGAGGUUACUUGGAGAGUAGGCAAUGUAAAUUGUAUAAAAGGCAAGUCCUUGUUUUUCAGAACACAGUGAAAAUAUACCAGAAGCAUUUCUCAUUUCUCCCUCUCUCUCGACUUCUCUCCCUACUUUCUGCAAUCUCAGAGCUUCCAUUGAUGACCUGCAAGCUCAAGGUUCAUCAUCCUUACGUGGUAUCCUUUCCGGUGAUGGAGGACUCUCUUCGAUCCUGAUAUCUUUAUGCUUCCGCAAUCUUCUCUGGUUGUUCUCUGGUAUGCGUUCUUCUUUGAUCUUUCUAAAUUGAGCUGAAUCUUGCUUUGCUACCAAUCUUGAAUCUUGCAUAUAUAAUGUUCGAUGAAAUGUGUCAUAAGAUUUCUUCUUCCUUGCUCAUAUCUCUGCACAAAUCUCUCCUCUGAAAAGUCAGUUUUCUCUUCGAAUUAAUCAAGAAAAGUACUCUAAAACCCUAAUUUUCUCAAUUUCUUCAAGAAAUUCCUUCUGCAUCUAUAUUUCUGCUGUGAGAAUUCAGACAAAAUGAUAAAAUCUGCUAUAAUUUUGCUAUCGCAUGUCGUCCCAUUGGAGCUUUGGUUCUAAGCUUCUUUGGCUAAAGGUACUAGUUUCUUUAAUUAUAUACUCUUGACCAUCCAGGAUUUACGAGAGCUUCACUAAUUUAGCCUUUCAGGUUACGUAAUAUUGAGGUGGAAUUUUCCAAUUUGCCAUUAGGUCUUGGCUUUCCUCUUGGAGCUAAUAUCCUUUUCAUCUGUUUAACUUUUUCGUCCCUGCUUUCUUUAGUCAUGAUAGAGACACAAAUGGCUAUCUGGUAAAACUUCGGACUUUUGAUCUAGUACUGUUUUUCGACUUGACAAGUUGCAUUUCUGAGUUAUGUCAUUCUAGCUAUCUCUUCUCUUUUAUACAAACUAGGUUUGGGUAAUUUGAUACUCAAUUUUUCUGUCAAUGAUUGAUUGGGCAACAUCUCCCUGUCCAAUCUCUACUUAAUUGCUCUGGUUUUCGUAACUGGAAACAUUUGUGCAUGCUUUCUGUGGUUCAGAUGGUUUUCGUAACUAGAAACAUCAGUCAAAUUAAACAGUAGCAUUUCACAAUGGCAUCAUCCUUGCAAGAGAGAGUUUACAGAAAAGAACUCAUAUUUGAAGGACGUAGCUCUCAUAUUUUUUACGUGGACAAUGCAUGUGCACUUGUCGCCAUUGAAACAUGAGAGAGCUGGAUUUUGUUUCUCCCUGGUUAUUUUUGUUCGAAAAUUUUCAUUCUGUACCCAAAAAAAAGGACUGACUCAUUGCUAACUUUUAUCCGUUUGUGUUUGGGAUUCUUACAGCUAACGUUUUGUCGCUGAAGGGCAAGUUGGUCCAUCUUUCAGAACCAAGAGUCAUGAACGAUCUUCUGUCCCUAGUUGCUGCACAAUUGAGGAUGAAUUCUGCUUAGCCGCAUCAAGGGCAGAGAAUUGAUGAUGCUAUAAAGAUACUCCCAUAACUUGCAGCACAGAUUGAUGCCAAACUAAACUACAGAAGAAUACAAGAUUUGGGAGAUUUCAAGGGACAAGAUGUAUUCAAGCUCUUAGGGGUCCCUAUAUACCAUACAGAUGGGUCAAAUUCAAGCUUCUCUAAGACAGGAAAGGAAAAAAAAGGGGACCUCGAGGAACUUUCUGAGUUAGAGAAGGCUAUACAACUGUCUUUGGCAGAGGUCACUAGUGUUUCUGCAGAAAAGGCUCUUUCUAAAGAGGAGAAUGGGUUGUGCGUCUUUUAUUGGAACGGUUCUUUUGACACCAUCUGCCGGAAGAUGACUUAUAGUUCUUGAUUGACAUGGAAAUAUAUGUUGCAGUUGACAAGAAUCUCGAAGGAGUGACAUUGAUCAGAGAGUGUUUGGAUGGUCCACACAUGUUUCGAGUCGUGCUUGAUGAUUUGAUCGAAAUUUAUGUGAGCAGACAACAUUAGAUGAAGUCAUUAAGUCAUAUGUUGCAGUCCUUUUGUGCUUAUCUGAGAUUGAAAUGUUAAACCAAUAUGCUUAGUUCUCAUACAAUAGAAAUCUGAGUUGGGUUUUAAUCCUAGUGUGGUUUAUUUGAAUUGGAUUCCCAUUGUUCUCAUCCCAUUGCCGCUUCGUUAACAAGAUCUCUCUCUCUCUCAAUGUUGUAGCGU
Pyrus x bretschneideri (Chinese white pear) is the source of this 2570-nucleotide long non-coding RNA. RefSeq lists it as uncharacterized. NCBI's taxonomy places the organism in Eukaryota, Viridiplantae, Streptophyta, Magnoliopsida, Rosales, Rosaceae. The transcript is spliced from 5 exons. The record is from RefSeq and is a predicted model, not a curated record.